RNAcentral lists this ribosomal RNA (253 nucleotides) under uncultured bacterium. RNAcentral's name for it is "partial 16S ribosomal RNA". It matches the Rfam family "Bacterial small subunit ribosomal RNA", at positions 524 to 776 of the family's 1533-position model. The record is from RNAcentral.
UACGUAGGGGCCUAGCGUUGUUCGGAAUUACUGGGCGUAAAGGGCUCGUAGGCGGCCAACUAAGUCGGAUGUGAAAUCCCCAGGCUCAACCUGGGAACUGCAUCCGAUACUGGAUGGCUUGAAUUCGGGAGAGGGAUGCAGAAUUCCAGGUGUAGCGGUGAAAUGCGUAGAUAUCUGGAGGAAUACCGGUGGCGAAGGCGGAUCUCUGGGCCAUUACUGACGCUGAGGAGCGAAAGCGUGGGGAGCGAACAGG